This 59-nucleotide transfer RNA is filed under the name Salmo salar (Atlantic salmon). It matches the Rfam family "tRNA", at positions 8 to 63 of the family's 71-position model. From Rfam's summary of the family: Transfer RNA (tRNA) molecules are approximately 80 nucleotides in length. Their secondary structure includes four short double-helical elements and three loops (D, anti-codon, and T loops). Further hydrogen bonds mediate the characteristic L-shaped molecular structure. tRNAs have two regions of fundamental functional importance: the anti-codon, which is responsible for specific mRNA codon recognition, and the 3' end, to which the tRNAs corresponding amino acid is attached (by aminoacyl-tRNA synthetases). tRNAs cope with the degeneracy of the genetic code in two manners: having more than one tRNA (with a specific anti-codon) for a particular amino acid; and 'wobble' base-pairing, i.e. permitting non-standard base-pairing at the 3rd anti-codon position. The record is from Rfam by way of RNAcentral. Lineage: Eukaryota; Metazoa; Chordata; Actinopteri; Salmoniformes; Salmonidae.
UGGCUCAGUUGGUAGAGCAUGGUGCUUGCAAUGCCAAGGAUCGUGGGUUCAAUUCCCAC